RNAcentral lists this ribosomal RNA (1296 nucleotides) under uncultured bacterium. Its description in RNAcentral is "bacterial SSU rRNA". It matches the Rfam family "Bacterial small subunit ribosomal RNA", at positions 62 to 1341 of the family's 1533-position model. The record is from RNAcentral.
UCGAGGGGCAGCGGAGGCGAGUGCUUGCACUUGCCAGACGGCGACCGGCGCACGGGUGAGUAACACGUAUGCGACCUGCCCGUAGCAGGGGGAUAAGCGGAAGAAAUUCCGUCUAAUACCGCGUAAUAUCUUUCGGGGGCAUCCCUGAGGGAUUAAAGGAAGCGAUUCCGGCUACGGAUGGGCAUGCGGCGCAUUAGCUAGUCGGCGGGGUAACGGCCCACCGAGGCGACGAUGCGUAGGGGUUCUGAGAGGAAGGUCCCCCACACUGGUACUGAGACACGGACCAGACUCCUACGGGAGGCAGCAGUGAGGAAUAUUGGUCAAUGGGCGAGAGCCUGAACCAGCCAAGUCGCGUGAGGGAAGACGGUCCUAUGGAUUGUAAACCUCUUUUGUCGGGGAGCAAAAAGGCCUCGUGAGGCCACAAGCGAGAGUACCCGAAGAAAAAGCAUCGGCUAACUCCGUGCCAGCAGCCGCGGUAAUACGGAGGAUGCGAGCGUUAUCCGGAUUUAUUGGGUUUAAAGGGUGCGUAGGCGGACUGGAAAGUCAGCGGUAAAAUCGAGAGGCUCAACCUCUUUCCGCCGUUGAAACUGUCGGUCUUGAGUGGGCGAGAAGUAUGCGGAAAGGCGUGGUGUAGCGGUGAAAUGCAUAGAUAUCACGCAGAACUCCGAUUGCGAAGGCAGCAUACCGGCGCCCAACUGACGCUGAGGCACGAAAGCGUGGGUAUCGAACAGGAUUAGAUACCCUGGUAGUCCACGCAGUAAACGAUGAAUACUAAUUGUCCGGUCAGAAUGAUGACUGGGUGAUACAGCGAAAGCGUUAAGUAUUCCACCUGGGGAGUACGCCGGCAACGGUGAAACUCAAAGGAAUUGACGGGGGCCCGCACAAGCGGAGGAACAUGUGGUUUAAUUCGAUGAUACGCGAGGAACCUUACCCGGGCUCAAACGUAGAAUGACAGACGGUGAAAGCCGUUCUCCCUUCGGGGCAGUCUACGAGGUGCUGCAUGGUUGUCGUCAGCUCGUGCCGUGAGGUGUCGGCUUAAGUGCCAUAACGAGCGCAACCCCCAUCUACAGUUGCUAACAGGUAAAGCUGAGGACUCUGUGGAGACUGCCGGCGCAAGCUGUGAGGAAGGCGGGGAUGACGUCAAAUCAGCACGGCCCUUACGUCCGGGGCGACACACGUGUUACAAUGGCAGGUACAGCGGGAAGCCAUAUGGCGACAUAGAGCGGAACCCGAAAACCUGUCUCAGUUCGGAUUGGAGUCUGCAACUCGACUCCAUGAAGCUGGAUUCGCUAGUAA